UUUUUAGUAGAGACAGGGUUUCACCAUGUUGGCUAGGCUGGUCUUGAACUCCUGACCUCAGGUGAUCUGCCCACCUUGGCCUCCCAAAGUGCUGGAUUACAGGUGUGAGCCACAGUGCCGAACUCUAAUUUUUGUAUUUUUAGUAAAGACAGGGUUUCACGAUAUUGGCCAGACUGGUCUCAAACUCCUGACCUGAAGUGAUCCACCCACCUCAGCUUCCCAAAGUGCUAGGAUUACAGGUGUGAGCCAGAGCACCUGGCCCACAAAAGUUUUUUUUGUAAAGGUAAAAUAGGAUUUAAAACUGUAAAGUGCUUAGCACACUGCCAGAUCACCUGUAAACUGGAGCUGCAGAGUUGAAGCGAAGUGGAAAAUCAUGAUGGAUGAUUUAUCUCAACAUCAACACAGAGCAGAUGUGGCCCUAAAAUUACACUCUCCUAAUGGCAUGGUCUUCCAAACAUCUAUAAACAAAAAUGAAGGAGGAAACAAACCAAAUGGCUUUUGGUGGAAUAGUAUUAUGUCCCUUUCUGGACAUAGUGCCAAACUUUUUAUGAAGGUCUUCAGUACUAAUACUUUUGAGAAAAAGAAAAAUGUCAAAUCAAAUCACAUAGAUCUUGUUCAUGUAUUUCCAUGUACUGUAAUCUUUCUACACAUAUGACAGUAACUAGUGGCACAUGGCAAUGAUGAAUGUAAACAGGGUGCUUAAGGAAGAACAAGAUGACCAUCAUCCUCACACUGUUUUGGGCUAACGUUAUUUUAUAAAAUAUUUUCUUUUCUUUUCUUUCUUUUUUUUUUUUUUUGAGAUGGAGUCUCCCUCUGUUGCCCAGGCUGGAGUGCAGUGGGGCAAUCUUGGCUCAUUGUAACUUCUGCCUUCUGGGUUCAAGUGAUUCUUCUGUCUCAGCCUCCCGAGUAGCUGGGAUUAUAGGUGCGCACCACCAUGCCUGGCUAAUUUUUCUAUUUUUAGUAGAGAUGGGGUUUCACUAUGUUGGCCAGGCUGGUUUCGAAUUCCUGACCUCAAGUGAUCCACCUGCCUCAGCCUCCCAAAGUGCUGGGAUUACUGCGCUUGGUCAAGAUUUGAUUUUCUAUAAAUCUUUUUUUUUUUUUUUAGUGAUGGAGUCUUGCUCUGUCGCCAGGUUGUAGUGCAGUGGUGCGAUCUUGGCUCACUGCAACCUCCGCCUCCUGGGUUCAAGCAAUUCUUGUGCCUCAGCCCCCUGAAUAGCUGGGAUUACAGGCAUGCGCCACCACACCCAGCUAAUUUUUGUAUUUUUAUUAGAGAUGGGUUUCACGAUGUUGGCCAGGAUGGUCUUGAUCUCCUGACCUUGUGAUCCACCCGCCUCAGCCUCCCAAGGUGUUGGGAUUACAGGCAUGAGCCACCACGUCCGGCCAAUCUUUUUUUUGUAAGUAGUUUUUUUCCUCCUGGUUAUUAAGAGAACACAUAUCUUACUGAAUUAUAGAUAUAUUCUACUCUGAAUGCACAAGUCUUGCACUCUCUCCUGCCCCAAGAUAUUCAUUGUUAAGUUUGCUGUACAUGCUCCUAGUUUUUCCAGGAGUACAUACAAUGAAACAAACAUUGUAUUGGGAUCAUACUAUAAUACUGUCUUCAACUUUUUUUUUUUUUGAGACAGAGUCUCUGUCACCCAGGCUGGAGUGCAGUGGCUCGAUCUCAGCUCACUGCAACCUCCACCUCCUGGGUUGAAGUGAUUCCCGUGCCUCAGCCUCCCGAGCAGCUGGGAUUACAGGCAUGUGCCACCACACACAGCUAAUUUUUGAAUUUUUAUUAGAGACAGGGUUUCACCAUGUUGAUCAGGAUGGUCUCAAUCUCCUGAACUCGUGAUUCACCCACCUCAGCCUCCUAAGGUGUUGGGAUUACAGGCGUGAGGCACUGCGUCCGGCCAAUCUUUUUUUUUUUAAGUAGUUUUUUUCCUCCUGGUUAUCAAGAGAACACAUAUCUUACUGAAUUACAGAUAUAUACUACUCUGAAUGCACAAGUCUUAUACUUUCUCCUGCCCCAAGAUAUUCAUUUUAAAGUUUGCUGUACAUGCUCCUACUUUUCCCAGGAGUACAUACAGUGAAAUAAACAUUGUAUGGGAUCAUACAGUAAUAUUGUCUUCAGCUUUUUUUUGAGACAGUCUGUCUCUGUCACCCAGGCUGGAGUA
Molecule: long non-coding RNA, 2153 nt
Filed under: Macaca fascicularis (crab-eating macaque)
Lineage: Eukaryota; Metazoa; Chordata; Mammalia; Primates; Cercopithecidae
Description: lncRNA (ENSMFAG00000058377.1)
Source: RNAcentral